UAAGACAGAGGAGCCAAGCGUUGUCCGGACUUACUGGGCGUAAAGCGCACGCAGGCGGCCGUGCACGUGGGGUGUGAAAGCCGGUGGCUUAACUGCCGGAGGCCAUCCCAUACGGCGCGGCUGGAGCCAUGCAGAGGCCAGCGGAAUUGCCGGUGUAGUGGUGAAAUGCGUAGAGAUCGGCAGGAACACCCAGGGGGAAACCAGCUGGCUGGGCAUGUGCUGACGCUCAGGUGCGAAAGCGUGGGGAGCGAACCGGAUUAGAUACCCGGGUAGUCCACGCGGUAAACGAUGGACACUCGGCAUCUGGUGCCGUUACUACGGCGCUGGGUGCCCAAGCUAACGCGGAAGUGUCCCGCCUGGGAACUACGAGCGCAAGCUUA
This 380-nucleotide ribosomal RNA is filed under the name uncultured bacterium. Its description in RNAcentral is "bacterial SSU rRNA". It matches the Rfam family "Bacterial small subunit ribosomal RNA", at positions 521 to 896 of the family's 1533-position model. The record is from RNAcentral.